AUCGACCGGCUGGACACCCCGUGGACGUCACGGAAACGGAGCGCUUCAGCCCACAAGUGGAGGCUCCGAUCUCCCACCUUGCCGGCCCCUCGAGGGCGGCGGGUCACCGGUCAGGUGCCGUGUCCCCGGAAGAGGACGCGGUGCCCGACGCGCCCCGCGGAAUGCCGCGGCGGUGCUCCCGGUUGUGAGGAGCAUCCGCCUGUGACCCGUAUGGGGCGUUUUUC
RNAcentral lists this non-coding RNA (224 nucleotides) under Actinacidiphila glaucinigra. RNAcentral's name for it is "Streptomyces glauciniger Streptomyces RNA 1601". It matches the Rfam family "Streptomyces RNA 1601". From Rfam's summary of the family: Identified by deep sequencing of transcriptome at the end of exponential growth phase. Appears longer on northern blot than sequencing transcript. Streptomyces specific. Lineage: Bacteria; Bacillati; Actinomycetota; Actinomycetes; Kitasatosporales; Streptomycetaceae. The record is from Rfam by way of RNAcentral.